RNAcentral lists this ribosomal RNA (274 nucleotides) under uncultured bacterium. RNAcentral describes it as "partial 16S ribosomal RNA". It matches the Rfam family "Bacterial small subunit ribosomal RNA", at positions 523 to 796 of the family's 1533-position model. The record is from RNAcentral.
AUACGGAGGGUGCGAGCGUUAAUCGGAAUUACUGGGCGUAAAGCGUACGUAGGCGGUUUGCUAAGUCAGAUGCGAAAGCCCCGGGCUUAACCUGGGAACUGCAUUUGAUACUGGCAGACUAGAGUAUGAUAGAGGGGGGUAGAAUUCCUGGUGUAGCGGUGAAAUGCGUAGAUAUCAGGAGGAAUACCAGUGGCGAAGGCGGCCCCCUGGAUCAAUACUGACGCUGAGGUACGAAAGCGUGGGUAGCAAACGGGAUUAGAUACCCUAGUAGUCC